UUCGGAUUGAAGCAAUUGUGACUGAGCGGCGGACGGGUGAGUAACGCGUGGGUAACCUGCCUCAUACAGGGGGAUAACAGUUGGAAACGGCUGCUAAUACCGCAUAAGCGCACAGUACCGCAUGGUACCGUGUGAAAAACUCCGGUGGUGUGAGAUGGACCCGCGUCUGAUUAGCUAGUUGGUGGGGUAACGGCCUACCAAGGCGACGAUCAGUAGCCGACCUGAGAGGGUGACCGGCCACAUUGGGACUGAGACACGGCCCAAACUCCUACGGGAGGCAGCAGUGGGGAAUAUUGCACAAUGGGGGAAACCCUGAUGCAGCGACGCCGCGUGAGCGAUGAAGUAUUUCGGUAUGUAAAGCUCUAUCAGCAGGGAAGAAAAUGACGGUACCUGACUAAGAAGCCCUGGCUAACUACGUGCCAGCAGCCGCGGUAAUACGUAGGGGGCAAGCGUUAUCCGGAUUUACUGGGUGUAAAGGGAGCGUAGACGGCAUGGCAAGCCAGAUGUGAAAGCCCGGGGCUCAACCCCGGGACUGCAUUUGGAACUGUCAGGCUAGAGUGUCGGAGAGGAAAGCGGAAUUCCUAGUGUAGCGGUGAAAUGCGUAGAUAUUAGGAGGAACACCAGUGGCGAAGGCGGCUUUCUGGACGA
Molecule: ribosomal RNA, 648 nt
Filed under: uncultured Lachnospiraceae bacterium
Lineage: Bacteria; Bacillati; Bacillota; Clostridia; Lachnospirales; Lachnospiraceae
Description: bacterial SSU rRNA
Rfam family: Bacterial small subunit ribosomal RNA
Source: RNAcentral